This 85-nucleotide transfer RNA is filed under the name Candidatus Latescibacteria bacterium 4484_107. RNAcentral describes it as "tRNA-Tyr". It matches the Rfam family "tRNA". Rfam says of the family: Transfer RNA (tRNA) molecules are approximately 80 nucleotides in length. Their secondary structure includes four short double-helical elements and three loops (D, anti-codon, and T loops). Further hydrogen bonds mediate the characteristic L-shaped molecular structure. tRNAs have two regions of fundamental functional importance: the anti-codon, which is responsible for specific mRNA codon recognition, and the 3' end, to which the tRNAs corresponding amino acid is attached (by aminoacyl-tRNA synthetases). tRNAs cope with the degeneracy of the genetic code in two manners: having more than one tRNA (with a specific anti-codon) for a particular amino acid; and 'wobble' base-pairing, i.e. permitting non-standard base-pairing at the 3rd anti-codon position. Lineage: Bacteria; Pseudomonadati; Candidatus Latescibacterota. The record is from RNAcentral. RNAcentral also lists the same sequence under 2 other names.
GGGGAGAUGCCCGAGUGGCCAAAGGGAUCAGUCUGUAAAACUGACGGCAACGCCUACGGAGGUUCAAAUCCUCCUCUCCCCACCA